This is a long non-coding RNA of Haliotis rubra (blacklip abalone), 870 nucleotides long. RefSeq lists it as uncharacterized. The transcript is spliced from 3 exons. NCBI's taxonomy places the organism in Eukaryota, Metazoa, Mollusca, Gastropoda, Lepetellida, Haliotidae. The record is from RefSeq and is a predicted model, not a curated record.
CUAUCUUAGCGCUAAGAGAGCUUAGAAAAUCUAGGGCCUCGUCGCUAUGUACAGUCGUAUCCCAGUUCUGGUCCCUACAUACAUCCACGACACUGUGAAUCACUCCAAACAUGCUGUUGGAAAAUAUUUCCUUUGAAAUUAUUGAAAUAUAAUAUUUCGAAAUAAUUAUGACACAAUGAAUUUUGUUUAUAUGACGAAUGGUAUACGCUUCUUUCAGACCCAGUGAGCGGCGCUUGCACAAACCUAAUCGAAAAUCGCUGAUGGUGUGUCAACUUCCUUCCACCCACCUUCCCACCCACCUUCCCAACCACCUUCCACCAUUCGACACAGACAGACUUCGGCAAUCAUUUGGUCGAAUAUAUCUGGCGUACUUGCAUCGUAAAAAAUCAACCAGCAUUCGAGAAGUUGUUGGAGGCAAUCAUACUGAAGUACCCGUUUUAAUGGGGUGGCACAAACCUAAUUGAAAAUCGCUGAUGGUGCGCCAACUACCUUCCACCCAUUCGACACGGACAAACUACGGCCAUCAUUUGGUCGAAUAUAUCUGGCGUACUUGCAUCGUAAAGUUGUUGGAGGCAAUCAGACUGCAGUGCCUGUUUUAAUGCUCACAAUGGCGAGGUGAGGGACUAACUGGAUAGGAUCCCGGAGCCUGUGUUGCUGGAAUAGACGUUACAACGUGCUACUUGAAGAAAACGUGUGACAUUAAAGCGAAAAUAUGGUGAAAAAUGUAAAUUUCGUGGAUAUGGAAGAAGUGCCUUAAAGAUAUUUGACUUAGUGUUAGACAGACAUUGAACAAGUACCUCCGACAUUUGCAGAUGUUAAGUUUGAUGGACAGUGAACAUACUAAUCACACAGGAAGAGUGAGACUUACGA